AAAUAAGUUUAACUUAUUUAAUUAUUAAAAUAACUAUAUUAAAAGAAAUUGACAUUUGGAUUAGUAUUGCAUUUUCCAUAAACGAUGCUUAACAUGCAUGCUGGCACCAGCGUUCUAUUUUCUCAAUAUUCUUAGAAGCAUCUAUCCCUCUCCAUAGAAAGGAAACAUUGAAUUAGAAACGAAAGAGUUGGAUUUUGAAUAUUUGUGUUAAUGCUAUUACCAAUUUCAAGCUUAGGUUAAGCAAAUCAAUACCUUUUAGAUAUCAGAGAAUUCUAACAUUGGACUCUUACGCUCUCGAGAAGUUCAAACUCUACAAAACCAGAACGCUAACAUUCAAUUCUUUAAGCGAGCAGAGAUUUUACCUAACUGGAAGUGAUCGAAACAAGAGAUAGUUUCGUGUAUUGAAAAUCGAUCGAUGAGAGCAGUCUGAUCUCAACAUCAGUCAAGACCCUGUCUUGUAUUCUCCCCACGAAAUCAACACCGGCGGCCUCACUUUCAUCGCCAAAGUUUUUGGAAUUGCAGCUUCUUUAAUGGACAACAACAACAACUUUGUUCCUUCCUACGCUCGCGCCACUCCAAGUUCUGGCAAUGGCAGAGGAAGGGCUUUUGAUACGAGAAAUGAUAGAAAAAGAACAAGAGGGUGUGGUGGUGGUGGUGGGAGUGGCUCGGGAAAGGAUAAAAUUGAUUCUCUUGGUAGGCUCCUGACGCGAAUUUUACGGCAUAUGGCAUCUGAAUUGAAUUUGAAUAUGAGGAGUGAUGGUUAUGUGAACGUUAAUGAUUUGCUAAAGCUGAAUUUGAAGACAUUUGCUAAUAUUCCUCUACGGUCCCACACUAUUGAUGACAUUAGGGAGGCUGUUCGAAAAGAUAAUAAGCAACGUUUCAACCUCAUAGAAGAAAACGGGGAGCUACUAAUACGUGCAAACCAAGGCCACACAACAACGGCUGUUGAAACUGAAAGCUUAUUGAAACCAAUCCUUUCAGAUGAAGGAUUUCCAGUUUGUGUUCAUGGAACGUAUAGAAGGAACUUAGACUCAAUUCUAGCAUCUGGUCUGAAACGCAUGAAGAGAUUGCAUGUUCAUUUCUCUUGUGGUUUACCAACAGAUGGAGAAGUAAUAAGUGGUAAUGUGAUAUAUAUUAUUGAAAAGAAUCCUAUUUACCUAUGGAAAAGUUUAAAUCUGGAUAUAUUUUAUUUUUUCAUUAUGGUUAGGCAAGUUGAUUUUCUUUCUGGAAUAUUAAGGAUAGUGGUUGGGUUCAUAAUAGGAAUGAUGAAAAAGACAGACUGGUGUGAAUCAUUGUAUUAUAAUCUAGCUUUGAACCAAAUGUGGAAUCCUAAGGCUUUAUUUGAGAGUUAGGAGGGGAAGGGAAGGCUUUUGAGAGAAAUGAAGGAGGAAAGGGAAGGGGACGGUGAUAGUCCCCACCUUGCAUGAGGGGUUUACGUUUCUCCAUUAAAUUAUAAAUUUAUAUCUCUUCGUUCAAUAGGGAUCAACCAAUAGUCAAUCAUUCAAAGUGUUAAUGUGGGUGUAGUUAAAUCAGUUAGUAGUAACUAAGAACCAAAUGCAUGUAUACUUAAUUGCUGUGGCAACAACUCAUCAUUUCUCUGCAAACGAUUUGAUCAAUUUAUAGAUGGGUGUUGCAAUUUAGUAAUCCAAUCUCUCUAAGAAAUACCAUUAAUGAACACAGAAGCACGGCUUGGACCUAUAGGUAUGAGGAGAGAUGUCAAUGUUCUGAUAUUUCUUGAUGUUAGAAAAGCAUUGAAGGUUUUGAAGGUGUUGUUCCACACAAGUAUUUCCAGAAGAUAGAAUCAUGGCCUGGCAGAGAACCUAUUCCUUUUUAAAAGCUAUGCCAUAAUUUUGUUUUCACUCAUGUAAAAGUGGAGGAUUAGUAAAUGAUUGUGCAUCCCUAUAGCAAAAUCUACACAAGCUUCAAUUCAACUUAGUAUCGGAUUACAUUGAUUUGAUUUGAGAUA
Non-coding RNA from Cicer arietinum (chickpea), 1966 nucleotides. The record is from RefSeq and is a predicted model, not a curated record. NCBI's taxonomy places the organism in Eukaryota, Viridiplantae, Streptophyta, Magnoliopsida, Fabales, Fabaceae.